This 524-nucleotide ribosomal RNA is filed under the name uncultured bacterium. RNAcentral's name for it is "bacterial SSU rRNA". It matches the Rfam family "Bacterial small subunit ribosomal RNA", at positions 10 to 523 of the family's 1533-position model. The record is from RNAcentral.
AGUUUGAUCCUGGCUCAGAUUGAACGCUGGCGGCAGGCCUAACACAUGCAAGUCGAACGGUAACAGAGAGUAGCUUGCUACUUUGCCGACGAGUGGCGGACGGGUGAGUAAUGUCUGGGGAUCUGCCUGAUGGAGGGGGAUAACUACUGGAAACGGUAGCUAAUACCGCAUAAUGUCGCAAGACCAAAGCGGGGGACUUUCGGGCCUCGCACCAUCAGAUGAACCCAGAUGGGAUUAGCUAGUAGGUAGGGUAAUGGCUUACCUAGGCGACGAUCCCUAGCUGGUCUGAGAGGAUGACCAGCCACACUGGAACUGAGACACGGUCCAGACUCCUACGGGAGGCAGCAGUGGGGAAUAUUGCACAAUGGGCGCAAGCCUGAUGCAGCCAUGCCGCGUGUAUGAAGAAGGCCUUCGGGUUGUAAAGUACUUUCAGUCAGGAGGAAGGGUGUGAAAUUAAUACUUUCAUGCAUUGACGUUACUGACAGAAGAAGCACCGGCUAACUCCGUGCCAGCAGCCGCGGUAA